ACUCCUACGGGAGGCAGCAGUGGGGAAUCUUGCGCAAUGGGCGAAAGCCUGACGCAGCCAUGCCGCGUGAAUGAUGAAGGUCUUAGGAUUGUAAAAUUCUUUCACCGGGGACGAUAAUGACGGUACCCGGAGAAGAAGCCCCGGCUAACUUCGUGCCAGCAGCCGCGGUAAUACGAAGGGGGCUAGCGUUGCUCGGAAUUACUGGGGCGUAAAGGGAGCGUAGGCGGACAUUUAAGUCAGGGGUGAAAUCCCGGGGGCUCAACCUCGGAAUUGCCUUUGAUACUGGAUGUCUUGAGUGUGAGAGAGGUAUGUGGAACUCCGAGUGUAGAGGUGAAAUUCGUAGAUAUUCGGAAGAACACCAGUGGCGAAGGCGACAUACUGGCUCAUUACUGACGCUGAGGCUCGAAAGCGUGGGGAGCAAACAGGAUUAGAUACCCUGGUAGGAUAGCG
Molecule: ribosomal RNA, 450 nt
Filed under: uncultured bacterium
Lineage: Bacteria
Description: bacterial SSU rRNA
Rfam family: Bacterial small subunit ribosomal RNA
Source: RNAcentral